This 259-nucleotide ribosomal RNA is filed under the name uncultured bacterium. RNAcentral's name for it is "partial 16S ribosomal RNA". It matches the Rfam family "Bacterial small subunit ribosomal RNA", at positions 96 to 354 of the family's 1533-position model. The record is from RNAcentral.
UGGCGGACGGGUGAGUAACGCGUGGAAAACCUGCCGUAUACUGGGGGAUAACACUUAGAAAUAGGUGCUAAUACCCGCAUAAGCGCACAGCUUCGCAUGAAGCGGUGUGAAAAACUCUGGUGGUAUACGAUGGUUCCGCGUCUGAUUAGCUAGUUGGUGGGGUAAUGGCCUACCAAGGCAACGAUCAGUAGCCGGCCUGAGAGGGUGAACGGCCACAUUGGGACUGAGACACGGCCCAAACUCCUACGGAAGGCAGCAG